GACAGGUGCUGCAUGGCUGUCGUCAGCUCGUGUUGUGAAAUGUUGGGUUAAGUCUCGCAACGAGCGCAACCCCUAUCUUUAGUUGCCAGCAUUAAGUUGGGCACUCUAGAGAGACUGCCCGGGUUAACCGGGAGGAAGGUGGGGAUGACGUCAAGUCCUCAUGGCCCUUAUGCCUAGGGCUACACACGUAAUACAAUGGUACAUACAGAGGGACGCGAGCUAGUGAUAGUUAGCAAAUCUCAAAAAGUGUAUCUCAGUCCGGAUUGGAGUCUGCAACUCGACUCCAUGAAGUUGGAAUCGCUAGUA
RNAcentral lists this ribosomal RNA (306 nucleotides) under uncultured Peredibacter sp. Its description in RNAcentral is "bacterial SSU rRNA". It matches the Rfam family "Bacterial small subunit ribosomal RNA", at positions 1033 to 1340 of the family's 1533-position model. The record is from RNAcentral. Lineage: Bacteria; Pseudomonadati; Bdellovibrionota; Bacteriovoracia; Bacteriovoracales; Bacteriovoracaceae.